GUCGUACUUUGUGUUCUCUUCCAAAAGCCGAGUGAAGGCGCGGAGGCAGUGGCAACCCCGGAGAAUGUUACGGAGGCUCCUGCCAUCAUCCCCGUAGCGGAAGCUCCCUCAGCACACACAUCUGAAUCAUCAGCAGACGGAUCAGUGGAGGGAAAAUCCGCGGGCUCCGGGUCCCUGGCCGGCAUCCUGAGUGCCCUCUGUGUGGCGCUGGUGGGCUCCGUCAGCGGCUACUUCACCUACCAGAAGAAGAAGCUCUGCUUCAAGAACAGAGAAGCUGACCCUGAAGCAGCCCGGAAAGCUGACGCGGCAGCAGUAGCUGAAUCAGACCCCCAGGGUAGGAAACACACACACACACACACACACACACACACACACACACACACACACAAACUCAAGAACACACACACACACACACAAACUCAUGGACAGACACACACACACACAAACUCAUGGACACACACACAGAGACACACACACGCUCACACACACACACACACACACACACAAAAACUCAUGACAUGCACACACACACACACACACACACACACACACACACACACACAAAGACGGAUGGACGCAUGAGGGUGCAUGCACACACAUGCACACCAGACACUCAGGCAUUGGUGCACACAUUCACAGUUGACCAAAAACACACACAAAAAUACAUGUAUACAAACCCUCACAAUGAUGUUCUCUUCAUGUACUGAUGAAGUCUGUUUUGUAUUUUUAUCAAACUCUAAUCUAAAUUCUCCUUUAUGUUAGUUUUUCCUUCUUCUUUCUGUUUUACCUCAUGUCUAUUGAUUGUCAAUCCCACACAACUCAUCGAUACACAUCGUGAUAAACAUUAUUGUAUUUAGUGUGCUGACUGUUUGUUGUCUGUUUAUUUGCAGUCCUUAGCACCCUGAUCACCUCCUCCUAGACCGCCAUCACAUGACCCUCAUCGACCAAUCGCAGCGGUGACUGUAGAGUAACGAGGGGGGUUUCACUUUAGGGUCGUGAACAUCUGACAUGCACGUUUGUGUGUGUGUUUGCACACAAAUGUGUUGAAGUUGAUGUGUGUGUGUGUUUAAAUAUGUCAGAGAAGGAGCAUUGAAAGAGAAUUUGAAUUAUUAUUGAAUAAUUCAAUUUGUGGGUGAUUUUGUUUUUUGUUCGUAAGUCCCUGAGAAAAUUUGAUAAUCAAUCCCCUUUAACUUGUGUACAAAUAAUAACCUGAAAUGGUAAACUAAACUGGAACAGCUUUUCUUCAUGUUUUGCACGAGAGUUCGGAUUUCUCAGCAGCACUAAGGUGCACUACAAUUGGUAUAACAGUUACACAAUACACACAACAAAGACACAUAGUGCAAACUUGUAUCUGCUUGGUUUCAGUCCGGUAAUCGUUGUACACUGUGAAUGUAGUUGGAGCCCCUGAGCUGCGACAGCAAUAGACAGGUGGCAGGUUCAGCCAUUCUGGAGCACCCAGUGUUCAUUGCAUUCCUACUGCACUGCUGGAGCACUUUGACUUCACACACGCUUUGGACAAAGACUAAUGCAAUGUGGCCGGCUCACUAGAAAGGCUUAUCUCUGAUACAUGCUGGGUGCAUCCUUCAAUGGCUGGGGCUGCUGUACUGGACCACGAGAUAAAGUGUUCGGUGGUCCGAUCCCUCCUAGACUGGGCCUGUAUGUGUUAUGUGUGCAUACAUACGUGUGAUGUGUGUGUUUUUUGACUGGUUGGUUGGUGGUGGGGAGUUUCCAUGUUCUGGGUGACCACUGUUCCUCUUCUUAGUGAAUUCAGGAAGCACGUUCAAGCAGGGUUUCAAAAUAAUAUUCAAAUAAGACAAAAAAAGUUCUCAACGUUUUAUUUGAUGACAACACCUGAAAAUAAAAAAAGGGACAAGUCACUGUUCAAAUCCACAAGAACUUUUAGUUGUCAUUUAUUUCAUUUAUAAUCUCCUGAAUUGACUCAAGUGAGGUAGGGUGAACCUCCUUUUUGUGUCUGUCGACAAUGCGUCCUCCAGAGUGGACGGACCAGUGAUGUUUGGUGGCGUACUCUUGGAUCUAGUCUGUAAAUCUAGUUGUGAUGCAGUCCUGUCUGCGGUGCCUUCCACUGACACAGCGCUCACUUGAACGAGCUCCAGAAACGAACGCAUUUAAAGCGCACAUUUUGGGCCAUUACGAGGAAUGAUAAUGUUUUCUUAGUUUACAAUCUCAUAACAGGAAUCAUCUUUAUCCAAUCAAUGAGUGACGGCUAGCAAAGAUUGGGAACCAUCGGACCAAUGGGAAGGGACGGGGUGGGGCUUUUGACUUUGUAAUGACAGUUAGAUGAUUGAUGUCCUCCCAGCUGCUUUGACUCUAGGAUAAAAAACAUCCUGAUCUGAGUGGCUCGUAUGUUUCUGGAACAGUUGAUCAAGUAGGUUGCUGUCGCUAUAUAUAUAUAUAUAUAUAUACAAAUAAUAGAUGUUUCUCGUUCAAAUCCUUUCUGAUCAUUUAUGUAUCUUGUUAGCACCGCCUCAAAGCUGAUGCGAACAUCUUGUCAAGGGUGGAACUUCUCGUUCAAAUUAUAAAACUGGAUCAGAUGUUUAAAAUUAUAAAAUGGAUCACCCUUUUUCACCAUUUUAGUUCUAACAAUGUAAGAAUAUCACUCUGUUGCCUUGUUGUUUGAUGCCUUCCUUUCUGUACCAGCCUCCUUUGAUUUGUCAGAAGGGUUUUUUGUAUGAUGUGCUCAACGUCCACCGUUUGGUUUUAGGAGACAAUAAAAGGCUGUUGCUUGGCGGGCUAGCCGAGGUCAAAGACCUGAUGUGUGAUGGUCUGUUUUUAUAUUGCCCACAUAUCAUGGGCUCAGCCUCUUGAUGCGACCCAGGUCCGGUUCAUUCCUGCUCCACUGCUGUGUGUUCUGCCCAGCAACUAUACAGAACCCACAACACGAUUGGUUGCAUAUACUUUGAGGUAUAAAACUGAUUCACUAAAUGUGUAUCCAGGCCCUUUAAGCAAGACAUCCAUACUUAAAGGGUAAUUCCGAUGUAAAAUGGAUUUGGGAUAUGUUUUGUACGACAACGAGUUGAAACGUUCAUUUUGGAGCACAAAAACUGCUAUAGACGCUUUCUUCAGUUGGCCGUUUUUAGCCGAUUCUAUCAAACCGCUAUAAACUUGGAACGAUUGGGGCACUGGUUAUGGUAAAAACUAAAUCGCUAUUUUAAACCACUUAAAAGGCUAAAAGUAGCCCGACACUUCUUUGGUAGUAUAAUAAGGGUGUUAACAUAUAAAACGAGGCAUUGAGAACUUUUUAAGUGUUCAGAUUGUUUAUUAAAAAGGACAUUUUAUACACACAAUACCAUCAGUAGAUCACCCGUCAACACCAUUUUGUUUUUAAGACUCGAUAGGUAGAUUGACGAACACAGAGAUUUUGACAUCCAUAAGGAACACGCAAGCUAUGUUCGCCAAUCUACUUAUCGAGUCUUAAAAACAAAAUGGCGUCGACGGGUGAUCUACUGAUGGUAUUGUGUGUAUAAAAUUUCAUUUUUUUAUAAACAAUAUGUACAGUUACAAAGUUCUCAAUGCCUCGUUUUAUAUGUUAAGACUCUUAUUAUACUACCAAAGAAGUGUCGGACUACUUUUAGCCUUUUAAGUGGUUUAAAAUAGCGAUUUAGUGUUUACCAUAACCAGUGCCCCCAUCGUCAAAUUUAUAGCGUUUUGAUAGAAUCGGCUAAAAACAGCCAACUGUAGAAAGCGUCUAUAUGCGUUUUUUGUGCUCAAAACGAACGUUUCAACUCGUUAUAUCCCAAAUCCAUUUUACACCGGAAUUACCCUUUAAGUGCUGCACAGUUAAGUCUUUACUAUCUUCUGGAAUAUGUUAAUGGUCAAAAACUAAAGGACAUUCCCUUUAAGGAAGCUAGAAAUUAAUGCCUAUGUUAAACUGUGAAAGUCAAGCUGGAUGUGUAAAAGGGCAUUUGGCAAUAAGCCACAAUGAUGUAAUUGACGUAUGUCCUAUAGGUGAUCAAUUAAAUAUACUAUUCCUAUUCCUGAUAAUAGUUGGUAGGUAGUGGAUGAGCUGUACAUCAUACCCCCCUCCCCCCCACACACACAUACUCACUGCGCUUUGGGUACCGAGAAAAGGUAUAUGAAUUCAAUCAAUUUGUUAAUUAUUACUAACACAAAAUAAUAUAUGGGUGGGGGGGGGGGGGGUUGUGUGUGUACGAUAUCUUUGUUGUGUGUGGGUGGGUGUUUUUUAGCUAAUCUGGCCCCAAGAUGUGAUUGGGCUCCAAAGUUAGCUACAUGUCAUGUUGUUGAUGUUAGUAAGCAUUCCUUGUUACCAAUCAGGAAGUUGUUGGGAUCUAUGGCUCGCUGCUUCCUAAAGUGCACUUCCAGAAUAUUCCGAGGACAUGACAAUUGACUCCAUCCAAUUCUGCCUUAAACCAGUUCACAGUUUUUUUCUAAGAAAUACUAAACAAAAAAGGGAUCAAGCUGAAAUGUUUUAGGAAGAAUUGAGUCCAAUAUACUUUUAUCUUUGGUUAACCUAACUCAAUGAAUUCAGAAAAUCACUUUUUUAUCCUGGUUUCGGGAGCAAAAAGAGCAUUUCUAAUAAUUCAUGCAGACUCAUAUGACUUUGAUUUCACUAUUUAAUUAUUGUCUUUGUCACAUUUUGUAUUUCAUUCUAACCGUCUGUAAUCUGGCACAUGUUUGUUUUGUUUUUGUUGUGUAAAUAAUGUUAUAAGUCAAUAAACAAUGUUUUUGUGGGGGCUGGAGUCUCGCUCUCUAAGAGAAAAACAUCUGAGUUUUUAAUUAUUGUGACCACAUAUUGUGCCAGAUUUCUUCACACCAUUAAGGCAUAUUAACAG
This is a long non-coding RNA of Gadus morhua (Atlantic cod), 4811 nucleotides long. Lineage: Eukaryota; Metazoa; Chordata; Actinopteri; Gadiformes; Gadidae. The record is from Ensembl.